GCCGCGCGGGUCCCCGCCCCGCCGUCAGCUGUCAGCGCUCCCCGCCGCCAUCCGUCAGUGGCUUGUCAGCCCUGCCAAUCCGCCCUGAUUUAUGUCAGCUUUUGUUGCUGAUUACAAGCCUGGUGUGACUCCAGGGGGAGAGAGAGGGAGGAAGGAAAACAGUGCGGGAGCGAGCGGCUCCGCGGCGGAGAGCAGGAACUCGUCUUUCUGCUGGAAACGGGCGGUGGGGCCGCUGUCCCCUUCCCACCAACGCAGCGGCCGUCUCGGCCCCGACGCCGCACCCGGCCUCGCUGGGGGCCGCCUGCGCCGCUCCGGGGGCGCAGCGUGAGUUGAGCGCUGCCUGCGGCCCUUCUACCGCUCCCCGUGCCGCCCGCUGCUCUCCCCUUUGUACUUCCCGUCCCGCUCUUCCUCGGCUCCUCAUCCCGUAAUGUUUUUAUUUUUUUUUAUUAUUAUUUCUUCUUUUUUUUUUUUUUCCACAGGCAAAACGUGUUAAUCAAUCUUUUACUUUUGUUUCCGGAUCUGACAUGGUGGCCCACACAAUCUACAACAUUAACAAAAAGGUCACUUAGAGAUAAAACACGUUUGACAAGUGAAGAACAAGGCAAGUGCUUCAGGGGUCGCGGCCAAUUCCUGACCUGGACUCCGACCAGAACAGGCGCCGCUCUGGGAGAGGUGGGCGUGGGGAAGGACUUUCCCUGCUCGCUCUCGGCCCGUCCGCACCCCGUCCUUCUCCUUCACCUUCUCCUUCCCCGCACAUCCACCUCCGGGCCCCUUUCGGGGCAGCCCCCAGCGGCCCUCUCCCCACGGGCCGCCUUUCUCCGACCGCCCUCCCCGCCCCCAGAGCGGUGCUCCGUUGGUCCCGUACCCAGCGCGGAGCGUGUCGCCGGAACGUGUCGGUGCGAGGCAGAGACGGGCUUCCAUGUCUCUGUGCCCGCUGUGUUCUUCUGAGGCCGUGACAGUUAUAGGAUCGGGGGGCAGAGAGAGAAGCAUCGCACAAAAGCUGCUGCUGCUGCAGCGGGACUGACAACCCGCACCGUGCCCGUAAGGAACUCCCCCUUCCUUCACACAGAGUGGAAGUGACUUGAAUCUGCCCCAGGUUUUCCCCCCGUUCUUUCUUUUGUUGUCAAGUCCAAUUGAUAAAUGGAGUGCAGUAAAACUCUGGAAGAGAGAGGGAGAAAAAAAAAAAAAA
This is a non-coding RNA of Coturnix japonica (Japanese quail), 1189 nucleotides long. The record is from RefSeq and is a predicted model, not a curated record. NCBI's taxonomy places the organism in Eukaryota, Metazoa, Chordata, Aves, Galliformes, Phasianidae.